Molecule: ribosomal RNA, 253 nt
Filed under: uncultured bacterium
Lineage: Bacteria
Description: partial 16S ribosomal RNA
Rfam family: Bacterial small subunit ribosomal RNA
Source: RNAcentral
UACGAAGGGGGCUAGCGUUGUUCGGAAUUACUGGGCGUAAAGCGUGCGCAGGCGGCUUCUCAAGUCAGGGGUGAAAGCCCAGAGCUCAACUCUGGAAUUGCCUUUGAGACUGAGAAGCUUGAGUACGAGAGAGGUGAGUGGAAUUCCCAGUGUAGAGGUGAAAUUCGUAGAUAUCGAGAGGAACACCGGUGGCGAAGGCGGCCUUCUGGACAGCAACUGACGCUGAGACGCGAAAGCGUGGGGAGCAAACAGG